This 241-nucleotide unclassified non-coding RNA is filed under the name plant metagenome. RNAcentral's name for it is "partial contains small subunit ribosomal RNA, internal transcribed spacer 1, and 5.8S ribosomal RNA". The record is from RNAcentral.
UUUCCGUAGGUGAACCUGCGGAAGGAUCAUUAAAGAGUAAGGGUCUUCGGGCCCGCUCUCCAACCCUUUGUUUAACUACCAUGUUGCUUUGGCGGGCCCGUCUCACGACCGCCGGAAGAUUGGCUUCGACUAAACUUCUGGCCCGUGCCCGUCCGUGGCCCAUUCAAAUUCUCGAUCAAGUAUGAUGUCUUAGUUAAAAUCUUAAUAGUUAAAACUUUCAACAACGGAUCUCUUGGUUCUG